Molecule: ribosomal RNA, 253 nt
Filed under: uncultured bacterium
Lineage: Bacteria
Also listed under: 1 other name
Description: partial 16S ribosomal RNA
Rfam family: Bacterial small subunit ribosomal RNA
Source: RNAcentral
UACGUAGGGUGCGAGCGUUGUCCGGAAUUAUUGGGCGUAAAGGGCUCGUAGGCGGUUUGUCACGUCGGGAGUGAAAACUCGGGGCUUAACCCCGAGCCUGCUUCCGAUACGGGCUGACUAGAGGUAUGCAGGGGAGAACGGAAUUCCUGGUGUAGCGGUGAAAUGCGCAGAUAUCAGGAGGAACACCGGUGGCGAAGGCGGUUCUCUGGGCAUUACCUGACGCUGAGGAGCGAAAGUGUGGGGAGCGAACAGG